GAACGCUGGCGGCGUGCCUAACACAUGCAAGUCGAGCGAUUCUCUUCGGAGAAGAGCGGCGGACGGGUGAGUAACGCGUGGGUAACCUGCCCUGUACACACGGAUAACAUACCGAAAGGUAUGCUAAUACGAGAUAAUAUGCUUUUAUCGCAUGGUAGAAGUAUCAAAGCUUUUGCGGUACAGGAUGGACCCGCGUCUGAUUAGCUAGUUGGUAAGGUAACGGCUUACCAAGGCGACGAUCAGUAGCCGACCUGAGAGGGUGAUCGGCCACAUUGGAACUGAGACACGGUCCAAACUCCUACGGGAGGCAGCAGUGGGGAAUAUUGCACAAUGGGCGAAAGCCUGAUGCAGCAACGCCGCGUGAGCGAUGAAGGCCUUCGGGUCGUAAAGCUCUGUCCUCAAGGAAGAUAAUGACGGUACUUGAGGAGGAAGCCCCGGCUAACUACGUGCCAGCAGCCGCGGUAAUACGUAGGGGGCUAGCGUUAUCCGGAAUUACUGGGCGUAAAGGGUGCGUAGGUGGUUUCUUAAGUCAGAGGUGAAAGGCUACGGCUCAACCGUAGUAAGCCUUUGAAACUGGGAAACUUGAGUGCAGGAGAGGAGAGUGGAAUUCCUAGUGUAGCGGUGAAAUGCGUAGAUAUUAGGAGGAACACCAGUUGCGAAGGCGGCUCUCUGGACUGUAACUGACACUGAGGCACGAAAGCGUGGGGAGCAAAC
Molecule: ribosomal RNA, 714 nt
Filed under: uncultured Clostridium sp.
Lineage: Bacteria; Bacillati; Bacillota; Clostridia; Eubacteriales; Clostridiaceae
Description: bacterial SSU rRNA
Rfam family: Bacterial small subunit ribosomal RNA
Source: RNAcentral